CGCGAAUUCGCCCUUCGGGGCGCACCAGGCGCGAAAACUUUACAAUGCGGGAAACCGUGAUAAGGGGACACCGAGUGCCAGCAUCAUAUGCUGGCUGUCCAGGUGUGUAAAAUACACCUGUUAGCAAGGGCCGGGCAAGACCGGUGCCAGCCGCCGCGGUAACACCGGCGGCCCGAGUGGUGAUCGUGAUUAUUGGGUCUAAAGGGUCCGUAGCCGGUUUGGUCAGUCCUCCGGGAAAUCUGACGGCUCAACCGUUAGGCUUUCGGGGGAUACUGCCAGGCUUGGAACCGGGAGAGGUAAGAGGUACUACAGGGGUAGGAGUGAAAUCUUGUAAUCCCUGUGAGACCACCUGUGGCGAAGGCGUCUUACCAGAACGGGUUCGACGGUGAGGGACGAAAGCUGGGGGCACGAACCGGAUUAGAUACCCGGGUAGUCCCAGCCGUAAACGAUGCUCGCUAGGUGUCAGGCAUGGCGCGACCGUGUCUGGUGCCGCAGGGAAGCCGUGAAGCGAGCCACCUGGGAAGUACGGCCGCAAGGCUGAAACUUAAAGGAAUUGGCGGGGGAGCAC
This 568-nucleotide ribosomal RNA is filed under the name uncultured archaeon. Its description in RNAcentral is "bacterial SSU rRNA". It matches the Rfam family "Archaeal small subunit ribosomal RNA", at positions 311 to 879 of the family's 1478-position model. The record is from RNAcentral.